UUUUUUUUGAUAGAAAGUUCACUAAAUUUUAUUGCUCUAGAAUGAAAUUAUAGAUUCCGAAAUGGAUACAUCAGAAAGAGUAGUACCACCUUUGGCAAGGAAAUUGCCAAGGCAUUCGCCUCCCUAUAAACGUGAACAAAGGAAACAGAGAGGGAAGCGGAUAAAUCUAAUAUUUGCAACAACAACGGUUUCAGUUCCCACAGGAGCAGUUGUUCCUUCUUGCACCACAAUAUCACAUUAAGAGAAUCCCCCUCUAGAAUGCACUCAUGCCUCAAUUUCCUAUUCACAAUAGUACGCAUACCAAAAAGAAGGGCAGACAGUUCAACGAAGUUAGCAGUCCGAACACCAAGAGGACCUGCAUUAGAAAGAACCACGUUUCCAUCCUAAUCUCGAAUCACUCCUCCAAAGCCAGAUACACCCGGGUUGCCUAUCAAACUGCCAUCGAAAUUUAAUUUAUAUACCCCCAAUGGCGGUGGCAAC
This 480-nucleotide long non-coding RNA is filed under the name Amborella trichopoda. RNAcentral describes it as "long non-coding RNA (ATRI_LNC001742)". Lineage: Eukaryota; Viridiplantae; Streptophyta; Magnoliopsida; Amborellales; Amborellaceae. The record is from RNAcentral.